CGGACGGGUGAGUAACGCGUGGGUAACCUGCCUCAUACAGGGGGAUAGCAGCUGGAAACGGCUGGUAAUACCGCAUAAGCGCACAGUACCACAUGGUACAGUGUGAAAAACUCCGGUGGUAUGAGAUGGACCCGCGUCUGAUUAGCUGGUUGGCGGGGUAACGGCCUACCAAGGCGACGAUCAGUAGCCGACCUGAGAGGGUGACCGGCCACAUUGGGACUGAGACACGGCCCAG
Molecule: ribosomal RNA, 235 nt
Filed under: uncultured bacterium
Lineage: Bacteria
Description: partial 16S ribosomal RNA
Rfam family: Bacterial small subunit ribosomal RNA
Source: RNAcentral